This 1685-nucleotide long non-coding RNA is filed under the name Pogona vitticeps (central bearded dragon). RNAcentral describes it as "lncRNA (ENSPVIG00000013462.1)". The record is from RNAcentral. Lineage: Eukaryota; Metazoa; Chordata; Lepidosauria; Squamata; Agamidae.
GAGACCCUUAAGAGCUGCACAAAUUGCUGUGGGGGCCUCAUGUAGCCUAUAAGUUGUGUGAAACCUACUCCAGAAGAUUGCAGAUGUCUGCUAACGGGCCAGAUUUUACCCCCAGCAGAGAACCUGGUAAUUUUAUAUGUGUGGGAAGCCAACCAGAUGCUUUACUGAAGUCAAAGUAUAUUACAUUCAUAGCAUUCCCAUGCCAGCUUUAUCUCCUUUGGUAAUCAAUACAUUAUUUUACAGGUACAGUGUUCAUGGACUGAUCACUUUAUAAUCAGUUCUGGAACUUUGUCUGCUGCUCAUCCACCCUGGAGCUUCCUGUCUGACCUUGUUUGCUACUUACUUGAAAAUCCUGAGUAAAAGAAAAAUAGCUUGCCAGGAACAGAGAGAAAAUAGAGAAUGAGUCACAAGAAUGAAUACUGAAUAGCAGCGGAAUCAAUAUGCAGUUCCAUGAUUCAGUAACGCAUUUCUGUGAUGAGUGGAUUUGCAGAGAGUGGGGAAUCUUUUUCCUAGACCCAUGCAUGGAAAUUGUUACUCCUUUUCAUUCAAGCUACUGAUCAUUGUCUUGCAUGAGACUGACUGGAGACGGAAUAAUGGAAAAAGAGAACAAAGACAUUCUGGAACACAUUUUUGUACACGUGAGAAUCUGCUUCAGCUUGACACAACUGAAAGCAGAGUUUGGUAGAACACAAAGUUACCAGGCAGGAAACUCUUGAGAUUGCCUUGUCCCUGUGAUCCUUCUUGAUAUUGCUGCACAAAGAUGCAUUGUUAUAAAAACUUCUCAGUCUUUAGUAUGAUUUAAUACUUCAUCUAGACAGCUGCAUAAGAUUAAUAAUACAUAUUCUGUGCUGUCAAGUUGAUUACAAUUUAUGGUGACCCUCCCAAGGUUUUCUCAGUAUAAAGUAAUCAGAAUGGUUUACUACUCCUUUCUUAAAUGGUGUUCUGCAACUGUGCAGCUUGCUCAAGGAGACAGGACACGUCACCCCAUCUCCCACACAUUGUAUGGGUGAUCUUGGCUAGUGCAUCCCUGUAGCCAUGCUGGAGAUUCAAACUUCCAGCUCCUGGAUCUACAACCCAGCACCCCAACCUAUUGCGCAACACCAGGGCAAAAUCCAGAUUAAACAAUACUAGAAAAGCUACAUGGUAAGUUGCUCUAGGUCUGAGGCAAGGCUCCAUUCAUGUGACUCACUGAGAACAUGUGGAACAGUGGAGAACAUCUGUACCUGGCUUUGCACUAUAUUUACUUUUCCUGAUAGUGGAAAUCUGGGCCACUUUGAUUGAAGGAUGUUUAAAUGAACAUGCUAUCAAAGCUGUAGCCUAGGAGCUAUGAUUUCAGAACUGGUGGAGUCUACUCAUUUCCCCCUAAAAAUAACAAUUUGAAGAGGCCUCAAGUGUAGCUCAUUAUUUUCAUAAUGUAGCUCAGGUCCUAGCAACAUUACCAACACUGAAAAAAAGUGUAUUAUUUCAUUUGUCUUCAUAUUUAAAUGAGAAGAUAAGGGCCAUCAUCAACAUAACAUGAGUUCCUCCCAUUUAAUUGUUUUGCUUAACUCUCCAGAAGUUUUAAGUUGGUUUGCAGGGGGGAAAGGUUUGAGAAUCACUGUGAAAUAUACAUCAGAUAUAUACAUAUAUAGGCCCAAACUAACUGUUAUCUUAAAUCAGUGACAGCAGGCUGGUAUAAAAAUUGU